Molecule: ribosomal RNA, 585 nt
Filed under: uncultured beta proteobacterium
Lineage: Bacteria; Pseudomonadati; Pseudomonadota; Betaproteobacteria
Description: bacterial SSU rRNA
Rfam family: Bacterial small subunit ribosomal RNA
Source: RNAcentral
CCUACGGGAGGCAGCAGUGGGGAAUUUUGGACAAUGGGGGCAACCCUGAUCCAGCAAUGCCGCGUGUGUGAAGAAGGCCUUCGGGUUGUAAAGCACUUUUGUCCGGAAAGAAAUUGCUCUGGCUAAUACCUGGGGUAGAUGACGGUACCGGAAGAAUAAGCACCGGCUAACUACGUGCCAGCAGCCGCGGUAAUACGUAGGGUGCGAGCGUUAAUCGGAAUUACUGGGCGUAAAGCGUGCGCAGGCGGUUUUGUAAGACAGGCGUGAAAUCCCCGGGCUCAACCUGGGAAUUGCGCUUGUGACUGCAAGGCUAGAGUGCGUCAGAGGGGGGUAGAAUUCCACGUGUAGCAGUGAAAUGCGUAGAGAUGUGGAGGAAUACCGAUGGCGAAGGCAGCCCCCUGGGACGUGACUGACGCUCAUGCACGAAAGCGUGGGGAGCAAACAGGAUUAGAUACCCUGGUAGUCCACGCCCUAAACGAUGUCAACUAGUUGUUGGGGAUUCAUUUUCUCAGUAACGUAGCUAACGCGUGAAGUUGACCGCCUGGGGAGUACGGUCGCAAGGUUGAAACUCAAAGGAAUUGACGG